CUAAAUCAUAAAAUUCACCGGCAAUUGUGCAGUUUAGAUCCACCUUUGUGUACGAUAUACCUGAUGGAUAUUUGGUGGAUAUUUUGUCGAGGACAAAAUCUGUUCGAUGUCAUUGUCUUCGAAUGUUUUCCUUCACGAUGUGUUUAUUUUAUUUUUUAUUUUUAUGGAGCGUUAAAAGUGUAAUUCAGC
Molecule: long non-coding RNA, 189 nt
Organism: Apis dorsata (giant honeybee)
Lineage: Eukaryota; Metazoa; Arthropoda; Insecta; Hymenoptera; Apidae
Exons: 3
Source: RefSeq, a predicted model, not a curated record